GAUGUGCCCUCUGCAGGGGAGAGAGUGUCACAUGAGUUCUCUCAGCCAACCACACUUAUCCCAGCCCAAGUGCCAGUGUGGACAUUGACCAGCCUGCAGCCACGGCCUCGGAGGCACUUCCGCUGGUGAGAGGGGCACUCCGGGUGCCACAUCAGGGCCCCACCAGGUUAUAGCCCUGCUCAUGGAUUCAGAAUGGUCUUUUCUUUGGCAUCCCUCCUUUGGCCAGUCACCAUCUCUACUGCUCACUUACCAGCCAUACUGUGUGAACCUGCAGGAAGAGAGAAUGGAGGUGACCCCAACGUGUGGCUAACCUUACCAUCAGCCCAGGCACAAAUCAGAACGCUUCUUGGUCUCAAGGCAGCUUCUGUGAACCACAGGAGCAGCUUAGUUGGGCUUUCUCUGUUCUUUCUGUGUCGGCUCAGUAGAUGGGUUUGAAUUACAUAUGAGGCUUGUGAAUACAAAACAUUAAAGUGGCCUCAGCUGCUUUGACUUGACCUCCAGGCAACUGUCACAGGCAUCAAGAACGAAGCCUCCAAGGAAGGCCACAGCUUGACCACCCCUCUCCACCCCGGCCCCUUUUCUCCUCCCCCUUCUUCUUCAGUGCUGGGGAAUCAAAUCCAGGGCCUCACCCUUGCUAGGCAAGCGCUCUAUCACUGAGCUACAGCCCCCAGCCCCACUUUUCUUAACACUGAAUUUUAAAUGGGCCAGGCAUCUGGGAAGCUCUGUCAGAUGCUUCUUUUUCUCUCUUCCACUCUCCUCUGGUCAUUUAUUAAAAGGAGCACUCCUCUUGCUGGACACUUGCUCGUUUUUCAUUUAACAAAGACUGGGGAGAGCCCUCAUGGAACUUUUCACGGCCUACUGAGGUCUUGAACUCUAACAUGGCUUGAUGCACACUUUGGGAGUCAGCUGGCUCCUUGUUCUGUGGACUGACCGCUCAGUGUUUGGACUACACAGGAAGAGUGUUUCAGAAGCAAGUGUAAUGGGGAAGGUGCUCUACUUCCUGCCUGGGAGGUGAGGGAGGCUGGGAUGGAGGCUUGGAGGUGCAGAUGAAUCCUAUCACCUACAGCAACACCCAUGGGGAGAUGAGGGCUGGAGGCAGUGAUACCAACUCGUCACUCAUUUGCUGAAAGCACCACUAGCUGGCACUUCCUGCUCACGAGCUCAGGGGCUACAGGGACCAGCCCCAGCCCAGUGCCCCCAGUGCCCCCGUUCUUCUCCAGUCAACCUUGCCCAGCACCAAACAGUGUCCUCACACCACUCCAUUUCACAUGCUUCUGUACACAAAGUCCCGGCCGGCAAACCACAUUUAUGACCCACUUGCUGGGAGCUGUGAUGUUUUUAAGAGCCAUUGGCUUGCAUUUUAGUAGCAUGUUAUCUCUUCCUCUCUCUGCAUUUGUCUCCACUUUCGUUAAGUAAAAGUCAAUAGCGUACAAACAUUCCCCUUUCAGACUUUGUCUGGUCUAACCCAGAGAGAAAAACAACCUUGCAGACCCCACCCUCAUCCAGGCUGCACCCGACCCAACUGUGUUCCCAGCAGAAGUUUGCACAUUGCGAUUUCUCCAUUACACUACAUCCAGAUGACUCUUCUGGUGCAGCCCAACCACUGGGGAUCAGACCGGAGAGCCCUAACUGUGAUUUCCAACAUGAUGUGAAAAGAUGGUUGUGGCCACAUAAGCCUGAAGGGAGCUGCAGGGGUUGUCUGAGCACAUCUGGCUGCUUGGGGACCCAGAUGUAGCAAGGCCACCGUCCACGAUGGGCUUAAUUUCCUCCCCUCUAUGGUGCAGUGUCAUCACAAGGGUCCUUAAAUGUGGAAGAUGGAGGCAGAAGAGUGAUGUGAUGUGAG
Molecule: long non-coding RNA, 1843 nt
Organism: Heterocephalus glaber (naked mole-rat)
Lineage: Eukaryota; Metazoa; Chordata; Mammalia; Rodentia; Bathyergidae
Source: Ensembl